Dioscorea cayenensis subsp. rotundata (Guinea yam) is the source of this 1122-nucleotide long non-coding RNA. RefSeq lists it as uncharacterized. The record is from RefSeq and is a predicted model, not a curated record. The transcript has 7 exons. Lineage: Eukaryota; Viridiplantae; Streptophyta; Magnoliopsida; Dioscoreales; Dioscoreaceae.
GUACUAGUCUACUAGACCACGACUUUUUGUUUCCGGCUUUUUCUAUAUCAAUUGUGAUCAGUCUUUCUUUCUGUCUUAUCUUUGUUAGCAGUUGAUUCAGUUCAGUCUUUGAAUAACAUCAAAGAGGACAUGCAGAAGAGCGAACUGUUGCCGGAUGCCGAUCUAUCCAAGUUCAAAUCGCAAGUCCAAAGUUCACAAAAGCAACACAAGACGGAAAAACAGGGUUCAUUAACAGUGGAACAACAACAGCGAAAAACUGAGACAAGCUCAAAGAAGAGAAAAGAACAUGGGCACUCAGCUCAGAGACCACAGGGGAACCCUAAGCAAUACUAUAAAAGCUGAACUCCUAUCAGUCUAUUUUUUAUGACAGAUAUGAGAUUGGUAAAGUUACAGCUACACAACGUCUAGAUCUAAACCUAGGGAGAGGGUAAGAGUAAAUUCAUUCAUUUCUAUGUUUUAUUGUGUUUUGUUUUUCUUAUUUAUCCAACCUGCUUUCAUGUUAUAUCUAGGAAUUUUUAUAUAGGGUAAUGAUGGGAAAAGAGAAACGUUGUUACUUUUUGAGUUUAUGCAUGGCUAUAUAUUGGUGUAUAUAUAUAUAUAUAAAUAUAUAUGUGGGAUGGCAAAUCACUAUUCAACUUUAUCUUUUGCUGAUAUCAAUCUAAGAAGCCCACCCACUUGGUCGAUACUAAGGGUUUUUUAUGAUAAAACCUGUCCCUCGAUAAACCUAUCUAUAUGUCCAAUUAACUGGGCUUCUUCACCUAGCACUUGCCUCUUAUAGAUUUCAUUUAAUUAAAUCUCUCUCUCUCUCUCCUCUAGUGGUUCAAUUGGGCUUUGGCUGAUUCAAAAUAAUCUUGUUCAAUGAUCAUUUAUUACCUGCACCUCUUGAAUCCCUUUCUAUUUGCCACAGAUCAAGUACCAACAGUAAAAGGACAAGAAAGCGCAUACGUGAUGAACUUUGUAAGAAAAACUGGGGAACCAUGGCACUCACUACAAAAACAAUUCAUCUUACAUGCAUUUGUAGUGAGAAACAGUCAACUUCAACUCAUGCAAAAAAAUCAUUGCAUAAUUGGAUGCCUGAACUGUCAACAGGGAGAUAUCAUUUGGCAGACAUCAUCAAGGACA